Paramisgurnus dabryanus is the source of this 2742-nucleotide long non-coding RNA. RefSeq lists it as uncharacterized. NCBI's taxonomy places the organism in Eukaryota, Metazoa, Chordata, Actinopteri, Cypriniformes, Cobitidae. The record is from RefSeq and is a predicted model, not a curated record.
UUAUGUUAUUACAAAUAAUGUGUGAGUUGAUUGCUAUUUUGAUGGUUAUUUGCUUUCAGUAGACAUUGAUGUCGGUGUUGCUUAUUGAGGGAUCUACUUUACAAAUAAAAACUGGCUUACUACUUGGCGAUCUGACUUCAGACAAAUUUAGUUUGAAGUCAGAGGAAGAGAGAAUUUUUAUUAAAGCUAUUUUGAACCUGAGAUAGCAGGAGUGUGCCGCGGUAGCUGAUUGACUCGCGCUGGAUUUAUAACACAAGACGAAAUGACAGAAACGGUAUGCAGCGUGAUAAUCGCUUUGCCUGGCUUAUCUUGUUUUUAAAAUUUAUUGAAUCCAAAACUCAAUUAAAAACUAUUAAUUUCUGUGCAAUUAAUAUCUAAUUCAUAGUACAUAUAAACUAUGACUGCUAUGUAGUGUUGGGCGAUAAGCCCUAUUUUGAGAUCGUCAGCCAGUGAGAUCGACGAUACAUGAUAGUGUCCAUGCAGUGCUAGGUGGUGUUCAUGGGGCGCCCAUUCAGGUCCGAGCAAGAGUCCCAAGUAGAGGUCUUCUCGGGUCCAAAGAAAUGUACCCGACCCGAAAUGACCCGAAUCACUUCAUACCCGAACCCGACGUGCAUAAAUAAAAAAUUUUUAAAGAAAGAGUCCGACCCGAACUAGUGAAAAGUUUUUUUUUUAACCCGACUGGAACCGAAUGUAAACGGCACUGACAUGUGUGCAUUCUGCAGACCCACGCGCAGCAGUCAGACAGAAAGAAACUCCGGUGGCCUUGCAACCAAUUUGGCGAGCUGCUCCAUUCGUUUUACUUUGUUAUCUGACGACGACACCAACGUAACCGCUAAAAUGUACAUUUAUAAUUGACUGACAUGUUUGUCUCAACGAAAAUGAACCUUCCGACAACCACACAAUGUCGCAAGUGCUCUUGGCAAACAGAUGAGAGGUUUGAAAAGGACAUUGACGCACACAGGCGAGAGAGUUCGGGUCUUCUUGGGUCCGUUCAGAAAAAACACAUUCAUUUUUAAAUUACCCGAGACCCGAUGCCGCUAUUAUUGUACCCGACCCGUGUCCGAGGCACAUGUGAAACUUUUAGACCCGAACCCGAUUGGGUCUCGGGUCGGACCUCGGGUUUUCGGAUCUAAGUGGACCCGUGAAGACCUCUAGUCCCAAGAUGCGCACAUUGAGUCCACAUGUGUGCGAGAAGAAAGCCGCAUGCUUUACAACCUCUCACGCGUAAAGCGGAGCCCAUAAAUCCUCUCAUGUGAGGAAAAGCAUGCAAUGCCCAUGUUGAUGUGAAAUUAUGAUAUUAUAUUUUUGACGGAGGUUGCAUUAGAGGCUGUUGCGUCUGAGCUCCCCAUAUGUUAAUAUAUUUAAAAGUUAUGUCCAGAUAGCAGAGAGAGCAAGGCAUUAUUUCCCCCAUUAACUUCUUAACACGCACCGGCCCGGCGGCGGUCCCUAGGGGGCGUUUUUACGUGUUUUUGUACUUUGUUUAACAUCAAAUAUUCAAUCAACAAUCAUAAACUUUGCAUUAUUUGAAAGUUUAAACACUCAAAAUUCAUGUUCUGAGCUUAUUUUUGCAAUCAAUACACUGGUGUGGAUAAGAUUAAAUAAAAUGCAGACGGAAUGCAUAUAAAAAAAUUUGUGGGUACUCACAUGUCUUGCCAUAUGGUUCUGAUCAUCUCUGACAAUUCCCAAAAACUUCAACGUACAUUGCAACGUAAGGGUCCACUCUUCAAAAAGCAUCCCACGUUUUAAUCCAAAACAACGAAAAAUAGUGAUAAAUCCAGCAAUACCCUCCUUUAAUUACAUCCGCGCGUCCGCUAAGUAUGAUCGAUCAUGUUUAUUUUCUAUCAAAUAUCGAGUUUUAUCAGUGAAAAUCCAUCUCUUCCUGCUUCGUUGGACUCUUCCGAUAAAUAUCCCGCCCUAUUUUUCUGUUUUGUUCAAUCAGAUAAGGUUUGACAACUCAAAAUGAAUCGGGAACACCGAUUUGCCCAGACAGAUGUCCUUCAACUAACCAUAGGCUUUUGACUGGAUUACGCCAAAACAAAGCCAGCCAAUGCUUAGCCAGCAAAGUUUUGAUGGGCAGGGGUAGUAACCAAUCAUGAAACGAUUACAAGGAUUCAAAUUACGUCAGUAAAGUGUACUUCUGCGCAAAUCUACAGAAGCGCAUGGAGAGGAAUGCCCACGCCCCCUCCCUGCGCGUUUCUUUGUUUGGGUAGCAUAGCAGCCGGCUAGGCUCUCCGGAGCCGCUGAGAAACCUCUCAAAGGUUAGAUAUAACAUCUCCAUUGUGGAUUGUCGACUGCAGAGGACUUGUUUGUGUUGAGAGUGUUUUGGAGAAGUUGAUAAAGAGCAUGAUCGCGGAGCAAAGAUACAAGAUUGGAUAUAAACGAAACCGCGUCGUCGACGAGAGAUGGACCGGACUAUGAGCUCAGCUGCGCUCGCUUGGAUAAAGUCUUCAGCUGACAUCCAGAGGAGGACUGGAAUCUGGAGUGCAUUCAUGAGCGACCACAUUCAAAAUAGCAAGUAUUUUGUUAUAAUGUGCAAAUGUUUUUUCUGAAAUAGUUUUUUCUAUGUGCUUUGGUGGGCAGAGAAGUUCUGAAUUGAUAUACAUCAUGUAAUAUGUAGUCCUGACUCAUUUUCUUUUGAUAAUCAUGUCAUUUUGUUAUCAUGUGUAUAUUUGGAGUUUCCAAGUGCACUUUUUCUGAAAGGACGCCUGGACUUUUUUGAAAUAAAAGCUCACAGAAACAACA